CUGUGAUGUCAUGGACACAAAGAAGAAAAUGCAAAACAGGUGGCCUUAAAUCAGCUUCCUGGUGAGCAUCAUACGUACAGCUGAGGCCUGAGACCAGCUGCAUUUUGUCCAUGGCUUUACAGGACACUCUGGAAGCCGUGUGGUUGGGGCUCCUCCUCAGCUUUCUUUGGAAGGUUGCAGAGAGCAAGGACCAAGUACUCCAGCCUUCCACUGUGGUAUCUUCGGAGGGAGCUGUGGCGGAAAUCUCCUGUAAUCACUCUAUAUCCAAUGCUUACAACUUCUUCUGGUACCUUCACUUCCCUGGAUGUGCGCCAAGACUCCUUGUUAAGGGCUCAAGGGCUUCUCAGCAGGGACGCUACAACAUGACUUAUGAGCGAUCCUCUUCAUCACUGCUCAUCCUCCAGGUGCAGGUGGCAGAUGCUGCCAUUUACUACUGUGCUCUGGAGGACACAGAGGCAGGGAACCCAUGAAGAGCUGAACAGAAAUGGGGAGAGAUCACAGCCUUUCCAGGAGGUGGAAAAGAGAUGAGCAAUAACUGCUUUUCCCCCUAAUGCAGUGUUCCUCAAGCUUUUCCAUUUGGCACUGCCAUCAGAAAACAAAUUUGAGUCCAGACACACUAUAUAUUAGCAAAUGUACAUAGGAACCUAUGUUUUCAGGGAGUGAUUCAAUAAUGGUGCUAUAAAUCCAUAUUUCAAUAGUCUUCUUGAUGACU
Molecule: non-coding RNA, 712 nt
Organism: Ceratotherium simum simum (southern white rhinoceros)
Lineage: Eukaryota; Metazoa; Chordata; Mammalia; Perissodactyla; Rhinocerotidae
Source: the annotation of a RefSeq genome assembly